CAAAUUAAUUUGCUGACAGGAAAUUUGACACAGGAAAAAAAAACACACAAAGAACAAACUGAGGUAGAAUUCAGAUAUUUUUCCUGAACCAUUUGAUUUCUGCAUUUUGUAGUUGUCCCUUUUUAGUUUAAGGCCCUUUACUCACACCUACAAAGAACCUCUACAGCAACAACACAGAGUGAGCUAAUCCAGCGUUGGUCACGGGCAGCUACAAUAACAAAAAGGAAAACAAAA
Molecule: long non-coding RNA, 234 nt
Filed under: Chinchilla lanigera (long-tailed chinchilla)
Lineage: Eukaryota; Metazoa; Chordata; Mammalia; Rodentia; Chinchillidae
Description: lncRNA (ENSCLAG00000022567.1)
Source: RNAcentral